UGGAAGUCUCUCCACUUAGGCCUAA
Molecule: non-coding RNA, 25 nt
Filed under: Mus musculus (house mouse)
Lineage: Eukaryota; Metazoa; Chordata; Mammalia; Rodentia; Muridae
Source: RNAcentral